AACGAACGCUGGCGGCAGGCCUAACACAUGCAAGUCGAGCGAUCCUUCGGGAUAGCGGCGGACGGGUGAGUAACGCGUGGGAAUAUGCCCUUCACUACGGAAUAGCCCAGGGAAACUUGGAUUAAUACCGUAUACGCCCUUUGGGGGAAAGAUUUAUCGGUGAAGGAUUAGCCCGCGUUGGAUUAGGUAGUUGGUGGGGUAAUGGCCUACCAAGCCUACGAUCCAUAGCUGGUUUGAGAGGAUGAUCAGCCACACUGGGACUGAGACACGGCCCAGACUCCUACGGGAGGCAGCAGUGGGGAAUAUUAGACAAUGGGCGAAAGCCUGAUCCAGCAACGCCGCGUGAGGGAUGACGGCCUUCGGGUUGUAAACCUCUUUCAGCGACGAAGAUAAUGACGGUACCAGCAGAAGAAGCCCCGGCUAACUCCGUGCCAGCAGCCGC
Molecule: ribosomal RNA, 442 nt
Filed under: uncultured bacterium
Lineage: Bacteria
Description: bacterial SSU rRNA
Rfam family: Bacterial small subunit ribosomal RNA
Source: RNAcentral